AUUGAACGCUGGCGGCAGGCCUAACACAUGCAAGUCGAGCGGCAGCGGGAAAGUAGCUUGCUACUUUUGCCGGCGAGCGGCGGACGGGUGAGUAAUGCCUGGGAAAUUGCCCAGUCGAGGGGGAUAACAGUUGGAAACGACUGCUAAUACCGCAUACGCCCUACGGGGGAAAGCAGGGGACCUUCGGGCCUUGCGCGAUUGGAUAUGCCCAGGUGGGAUUAGCUAGUUGGUGAGGUAAUGGCUCACCAAGGCGACGAUCCCUAGCUGGUCUGGGAGGAUGAUCAGCCAAACUGGAACCGAGACCAGGUCCAGGCUCCUACGGGAGGCAGCAGUGGGGAAUAUUGCACAAUGGGGGAAACCCUGAUGCAGCCAUGCCGCGUGUGUGAAGAAGGCCUUCGGGUUGUAAAGCACUUUCAGCGAGGAGGAAAGGUUGAUGCCUAAUACGCAUCAACUGUGACGUUACUCGCAGAAGAAGCACCGGCUAACUCCGUGCCAGCCGCCGCCGUAA
Molecule: ribosomal RNA, 508 nt
Filed under: uncultured bacterium
Lineage: Bacteria
Description: partial 16S ribosomal RNA
Rfam family: Bacterial small subunit ribosomal RNA
Source: RNAcentral